Molecule: non-coding RNA, 104 nt
Organism: Solanum tuberosum (potato)
Lineage: Eukaryota; Viridiplantae; Streptophyta; Magnoliopsida; Solanales; Solanaceae
Source: Rfam
GGCAAUUUUGCGAUGAUGAUACAUUUUUCCCAGCUCAUUAUGAGACCUUAUUUUUAAGGUCUGGGAAUAUAUUCCGUUUCCAACACAUACAUCUGAGCUUUGCC